Long non-coding RNA from Juglans microcarpa x Juglans regia, 150 nucleotides. RefSeq lists it as uncharacterized. NCBI's taxonomy places the organism in Eukaryota, Viridiplantae, Streptophyta, Magnoliopsida, Fagales, Juglandaceae. The record is from RefSeq and is a predicted model, not a curated record. The transcript is spliced from 3 exons.
GCUAAUUCACAUAACUUGUAUUUGAGCGUUGCUCAGCAACAUUGUAAGCCAUCUUAUGUUCAUGAAAUUUCAGUAUGAUUGUCUUUACUUGUGGAAGUACUGAACAAAAAUUUUAGGUCUUAUGUGUGUGGUUUUUUUUUUUAUCAGCAA